CCCAUUUAUUUAUUAUAAAAUCUCUUAGUUCAUCAUACUUUGAACUUACUUGCUUGGAUCCUAUCCAAGGAUUUAGCCCAAGUCCAAUUUGAAGCCUUUGGGGUUCGAUUUAAAACCAAAUUGGGUCCACAUGGGUUGAUUGAGUUUUUUAAUUAAAGGAUUGGGUCUGGUUCAUGAUCAAUUAGAUAUGCUGAGACCAACUCAGCUUAAUUGGGUUCGGACCCAUUCUAAUUUAACUUAAUUUAGCUCGGAUUUAACCCAAUUUACAGUUUGGGCUCGUCCAGACUUAGCCCAAUCUGAUUGAGCUCGGAUUUAGACUUAGCCCAGUCUUAUUGGGCUUGGGUAGUCAAAUUUGGCUAAACCCAUUUCAUUUCGUUUUUUUUUCCUUCUCUUUUUCUUCUUUUUCUUUUCUUUUUCUUUUUCUUUUCUUUCUUUUUUUCCCCUUCUCUUCUUUAGAACCUUCCCGACACCCUCCUCUCUUCCCCCUUUCUCCUCCUCUCUUCU
This 504-nucleotide long non-coding RNA is filed under the name Phoenix dactylifera (date palm). RNAcentral describes it as "long non-coding RNA (PDAC_LNC022706)". Lineage: Eukaryota; Viridiplantae; Streptophyta; Magnoliopsida; Arecales; Arecaceae. The record is from RNAcentral.